Molecule: ribosomal RNA, 496 nt
Filed under: uncultured bacterium
Lineage: Bacteria
Description: partial 16S ribosomal RNA
Rfam family: Bacterial small subunit ribosomal RNA
Source: RNAcentral
AUUGAACGCUGGCGGCAUGCUUUACACAUGCAAGUCGAACGGUAGAGGGGGCAACCCCUUGAGAGUGGCGAACGGGUGAGUAAUGCAUCGGAACGUGCCCAGUCGUGGGGGAUAACGCAGCGAAAGCUGUGUUAAUACCGCAUACGAUCUCUGGAUGAAAGCGUGGGACCGAAAGGCCUCGCGCGAUUGGAGCGUCCGAUGUCAGAUUAGGUAGCUGGUGGGGUAAAGGCCUACCAAGCCAACGAUCUGUAGCUGGUCUGAGAGGACGACCAGCCACACUGGGACUGAGACACGGCCCAGACUCCUACGGGAGGCAGCAGUGGGGAAUUUUGGACAAUGGGCGCAAGCCUGAUCCAGCAAUGCCGCGUGCAGGAAGAAGGCCUUCGGGUUGUAAACUGCUUUUGUACGGAACGAAACGGUCUGGGUUAAUACCCUGGGCUAAUGACGGUACCGUAAGAAUAAGCACCGGCUAACUACGUGCCAGCAGCCGCCGUAA